Lupinus albus (white lupine) is the source of this 204-nucleotide non-coding RNA. The record is from the annotation of a GenBank genome assembly. Lineage: Eukaryota; Viridiplantae; Streptophyta; Magnoliopsida; Fabales; Fabaceae.
UGUUUGACUCUUUGGGUUGUGAAGACAAGACCAACCUUGUGAACUUCAUAGGUAGUUAUUGCUAAGAGUAGAAGAUGGCACAUGGUAUCAAGUUCUUUGAGUUGAACACAGGGGUAUGUAAUGAUUCAUCCUACUCUUGUAUCUCCACUGCUGUUAAGGGUAGUGGAUGAAAGCUAUGGUGGUUAUAAGAAUGGUGAAUAGUGA